Long non-coding RNA from Synchiropus splendidus (mandarinfish), 1703 nucleotides. RefSeq lists it as uncharacterized. The record is from RefSeq and is a predicted model, not a curated record. NCBI's taxonomy places the organism in Eukaryota, Metazoa, Chordata, Actinopteri, Syngnathiformes, Callionymidae. The transcript is spliced from 4 exons.
AAGUGAGAGCUGAGCGUGUGAAGUCGACGCUGCGGUCGUGUUGUGGUCUCAUCUGACUUCUUUAAUGAAGCAGAGUAAAGAGGAAGCUUCAGCGCAACUUGCCGCCAGACUUUCUGUCUCUGAUUCAGAUUCCCAUCUUCUUGGGCCUCCGGAGGAAGAGACCCAUGACCUGAACUUGAACCACACUUCUAUGGAAUACCACCUGAUAGCCUUGUCAAGGUCACCGUGCGUCUGCACUUCGCUCUCGCUGUGGUUUCUCUCAGAUACAGAUCUAAUGUCUAAAGGAACCAGUUUCUGCAUGGUCACAGGCUGGUUUUGUCAUGUUGCCGUUGCAUUGUCACACUGAAUGUGUAAUAGCUUCUGUACUGAACAACAGAAAGCUGCAGAAGAUCGAACCAAAUAUGGACCUGAAGUGGCAGAUGAGCUGAAGAUACAGAGCUGUCAAUCAGAAUUUAAUGCACUUAAGCAGACCAACACUUAAUGUCCAGAUGAACUUGGCUUCCUCCACCUGAUCUCAACGUGUCUGUAGGUGAAAGUCCAGCAUCAAGAACACAACAGUUCUGAGACGAUAACUGUAAAUUAAAGUGGCUUCUGGUGGUCAUUUCUUUGUGAACCAGUCUGAGAGUCCCGCUUCUCUGUUGGUCGAGUGCAGCUUCAGACCUACAAUGGUGCCUCAGUGAGAAACAUAACAAAUGUCUGAUUAUGUUCAAAAUAAUUUUUUGGAUGAAAUUCUCUGGAAAUAUGUGGAAAAAAAUGAUUCAGUUUUGGGAGUGAUCUGCGUCUGGAUCUAGAAUUUUUUCAAAAGGUUUUUUAACACUGAGAACAUUUACAGCAUUUGUUCAUAUGGCUCCUCAAAGAAUGGUCGGGGCACGAGGAAAAAGAUCCAGUACAAGCUUCCAACAGGUUCCAUAUCCAUCAUAGGAAGAGAAGAAAUGAAGGUACAUGCAACACGCACUUAUAUACUACACCAGAAUCAGAACCAGUGCUGUUUCGUAACGUCAGAGCAGGGAUGUUUCACAAGGUUGCAGUCAGGUGUGUGAGCCCGAUAACAGCUGGAGAAACAGAUAAAUACGACCAGAUGACGGAGGAGCGCUCACUUCCAUAUCUGCAUCCGUCGAUCUUCCUCAGAGAAACAUCCCUGGGCCUCAUUCAGAAAAGAUGACUUUGAAGAUCUGCUUUGCCGCCUUCCUCCUGCUGCAUCUCCACCUCAUGGCUGCGUCCAAGAAGACCCUUCCUGCGUUCAAGACCAGACACAUCAAUUCUGACAUGAAGCCGGAUCAGUGCAGCGACGUGAUCCAGCAGAAGCACGUCAACAGCGGCGGGCCCAUAAGGAAGGUCAACACCUUCAUUCAGACCAAAGUGGAAAAAGUGAUAGCAGUUUGUGCUGGGCGCACCGGAAUCUUCGAGAGUGACACCAAUUUCCGUGUCGUGGUCUGCUGCCUGGUCGACGGAAAUACAGAGUCGCCCCUUAAAUACGUCGGCUAUCAUCGUUUCCAGACCAUCAGAGUAGAAUGCAACAAAGCCGGCCAUCCUGUGCACUAUGCACGCCAGGAUCCAUGCCCUCCCGCUCCUCCACCGAAGACUGACCGUUUUUGAAUUCGAAGAUCUUUUUUCUUGCUUCAUUUUCUGACUGUUUCAUUUGUCAUGAAAGGAAAACUGGAAUUUGAUGCCAGCAUUGUGCCAGCGAUGAAGAGCUUGCAUGA